This 697-nucleotide ribosomal RNA is filed under the name Sporothrix dombeyi. RNAcentral's name for it is "eukaryotic LSU rRNA". It matches the Rfam family "Eukaryotic large subunit ribosomal RNA", at positions 148 to 873 of the family's 3401-position model. Lineage: Eukaryota; Fungi; Ascomycota; Sordariomycetes; Ophiostomatales; Ophiostomataceae. The record is from RNAcentral.
AUUUGGAGAGGAUGCUUCUGGCGCGGCGCCGUCCGAGUUCCUUGGAACAGGACGCCACAGAGGGUGAGAGCCCCGUACGGACGGGCGCCUAGCCUCUACGAAGCUCCUUCGACGAGUCGAGUAGUUUGGGAAUGCUGCUCAAAAUGGGAGGUAAAUUUCUUCUAAAGCUAAAUACCGGCCAGAGACCGAUAGCGCACAAGUAGAGUGAUCGAAAGAUGAAAAGCACUUUGAAAAGAGGGUUAAAAAGUACGUGAAAUUGUUGAAAGGGAAGCGCCUGUGACCAGACUUGCGCCCCGCGGACCAACCGGCGCCCGCGCCGGUGCACUCCGCGGGGCGCAGGCCAGCAUCGGUUCGCCCGGGGGGACAAAGGCGGCGGGAACGUAGCUCCUCCGGGAGUGUUAUAGCCCGCCGCGGCAUGCCCCUGGGGGGACCGAGGACCGCGCUUCGGCAAGGAUGCUGGCGUAAUGGUCACCAGCGACCCGUCUUGAAACACGGACCAAGGAGUCAAGCAUUGGGGCGAGUGUAUGGGUGCCAAACCCGCACGCGCAAUGAAAGUAAACGCAGGUGAGAGCUUCGGCGCAUCAUCGACCGAUCCUGAUGUCUUCGGAUGGAUUUGAGUAAGAGCCCUACCGCUUGGACCCGAAAGAUGGUGAACUAUGCCUGUAUAGGGUGAAGCCAGAGGAAACUCUGGUGGAGG